Long non-coding RNA from Xenia sp. Carnegie-2017, 812 nucleotides. RefSeq lists it as uncharacterized. The record is from RefSeq and is a predicted model, not a curated record. NCBI's taxonomy places the organism in Eukaryota, Metazoa, Cnidaria, Anthozoa, Malacalcyonacea, Xeniidae. The transcript is spliced from 3 exons.
AUGGAGAGCUAUAUGAACGUCUAUGGCUUCAAGUUGAUGGGAUUGUAUUCUUUUUAAGGAACUAAAUCAUAUCAGCGACUUUCCUCCAUUCUGUUGAAAAAAUCUGUUCUCAAAGAUGUUAAAAAACUAUCUUCAGAAGCACAAACUAGUUGUCUCGAAGGUUUUCAUUCAACAUUAAAUGGUUGGCAUCCAAAGAUGACCCACUUUUCUUGGCUUGGUACAUAUUGCAGGUAACUUGUAAUCACUGUUCUCUAUCUGCCAAGGCUUUUUUACUUGUUCCUAGUCAAGAAAAAAAAUUACAUAGUAAAUGGUUUGUUCUGUUUAGGCACGUACUGGCAGUACUUCAUUUCAAUGAAAACCUUCACAGACAGCCAAAAAAAACAAAAAAUGGAACACCAUAUUAUUCUGUGACAUACCCAAAAUUUAAAUCAGGGGAUGAAGUAGUAAGAACUGUUUCUUCAGCACCAUCAUAUUGUAAGUUUAGCAUGUAUGCAUUGGUACUCUUGACUUACACAUCUAACCACUUGUCAUUUUUCCAGACUAUGUUAAUGAAAUCAAAAAUGUCAUGGUUCUUAGUUGUGAGGAAUCCAUGGACAACAUAUUUAAGAAGUAUAAGGAAAAAGUCCCAGAAGCCUUAAACAAAACGUUCUCGGAUCGAAUUUCCAAAACUGAGGCAAUUCAACGGCAUUUGGAUUGGAAACAACUAUCUUCAACACCAUUGUUUCCCACAUAUCAACAGCAAGAUGUACUGCAAGCAAAAGGUUUAGACAAAGAAAAACAAGCUGCUUCAACAGGUCCUUCAGAUCCAAAAA